Molecule: ribosomal RNA, 253 nt
Filed under: uncultured bacterium
Lineage: Bacteria
Description: partial 16S ribosomal RNA
Rfam family: Bacterial small subunit ribosomal RNA
Source: RNAcentral
UACGGAGGAUGCAAGCGUUAUCCGGAUUUAUUGGGUUUAAAGGGUGCGUAGGCGGAAUGAUAAGUCAGUGGUGAAAUCCUGCAGCUUAACUGUAGAACUGCCAUUGAUACUGUUGUUCUUGAAUAUAGUUGAGGUAGGCGGAAUGUGUAAUGUAGCGGUGAAAUGCAUAGAUAUUACACAGAACACCGAUUGCGUAGGCAGCUUACUAAGCUAAUAUUGACGCUGAGGCACGAAAGCGUGGGGAUCGAACAGG